GCUGAUCGCAUUUGAAAAUGUGAAAUUACUGCAGUUCUGGCUAGAAGUUUCAGGAAAAUGUUGCGUUCCAUAGUUUUCGGUUUGCUCAUCUGUGUGAGCCUACAUUUGUUGCUGACUGUUAAUGCUGGCACUUCAGCUGCAGUGAAUUCAGCGCUUCAAUCCGCAAGCUCUUUUCAACUUUCCAGCAAAACCGUUGGGCAUGUAAAACAUGGGCGUGGUCAAAGGCGCAAUGGUACAACAACCACCACCACAACAGCUGCUCCAACGACAUAAUUCUGUAUAGAGAAAUUCAAUAAUCAAAUAGUGAUAAAUUAGAAAACUUUAUUUUAGAAAAUUAUUUAAUUUGGUGGUGUCAAAAUAUUUGAUAAAUGUCAAUAUAAAUUCUGUGCUAAUGACAAUGAAGAGUUAAUGAAAAUGACGUGCGGGUUCCUUGAGUGAAAUCCCAACUUUAAUGCUAUUGUUUUGGACUGCAGAAGUUUCCAACAUCUUCUAGAUUCCGGUUUUUCAAAGGAUUUCAAAGGAAAAUAAAGCUAGCAAAUUUCCGUUGAACCGCA
Molecule: long non-coding RNA, 554 nt
Organism: Bactrocera neohumeralis
Lineage: Eukaryota; Metazoa; Arthropoda; Insecta; Diptera; Tephritidae
Exons: 2
Source: RefSeq, a predicted model, not a curated record